Molecule: non-coding RNA, 102 nt
Filed under: Vagococcus teuberi
Lineage: Bacteria; Bacillati; Bacillota; Bacilli; Lactobacillales; Enterococcaceae
Description: TPP sequence
Rfam family: TPP riboswitch aptamer (THI element)
About the family: Vitamin B(1) in its active form thiamin pyrophosphate (TPP) is an essential coenzyme that is synthesised by coupling of pyrimidine and thiazole moieties in bacteria. The previously detected thiamin-regulatory element, thi box was extended, resulting in a new, highly conserved RNA secondary structure, the THI element, which is widely distributed in eubacteria and also occurs in some archaea.
Source: Rfam by way of RNAcentral
ACCGUCACAAAGGGGAGCUUCAAAGCUGAGAAUGAGUGAAAACUCUAAACCCUCGAACCUGAUAUUGUUAAUUCAAGCGUAGGAAUUGUGUGAAGUGGUAGC